This 478-nucleotide ribosomal RNA is filed under the name uncultured bacterium. Its description in RNAcentral is "partial 16S ribosomal RNA". It matches the Rfam family "Bacterial small subunit ribosomal RNA", at positions 28 to 507 of the family's 1533-position model. The record is from RNAcentral.
GAUGAACGCUAGCGGCAGGCCUAACACAUGCAAGUCGAGGGAGAAGCCCUUUCGGGGGCAGACACCGGCGCACGGGUGCGUAACGCGUAUGCAACCUACCUUUCACAGGGGGAUAGCCCGAAGAAAUUUGGAUUAAUACCCCAUAAUAUUAUUGGAUGGCAUCAUUUGAUAAUUAAAACUGCGGUGGUGAAAGAUGGGCAUGCGUCCUAUUAGCUAGUUGGAGUGGUAACGGCACCCCAAGGCUACGAUAGGUAGGGGUCCUGAGAGGGAGAUCCCCCACACUGGUACUGAGACAGGGACCAGACUCCUACGGGAGGCAGCAGUGAGGAAUAUUGGUCAAUGGUCGGAAGACUGAACCAGCCAUGCCGCGUGCAGGAAGAAUGCCUUAUGGGUUGUAAACUGCUUUUAUAUGGGAAGAAUAAGGCGUACGUGUACGUUGAUGACGGUACCAUAUGAAUAAGCAUCGGCUAACUCCGUG